GCAUUGGUAUCUUGGUGGUAGAAUUCUCAACUUCUGCGCGGGAGACCUGGGUUUAAUUCCCAGCCAGUGCA
Molecule: transfer RNA, 71 nt
Filed under: Loxodonta africana (African savanna elephant)
Lineage: Eukaryota; Metazoa; Chordata; Mammalia; Proboscidea; Elephantidae
Rfam family: tRNA
About the family: Transfer RNA (tRNA) molecules are approximately 80 nucleotides in length.
Source: Rfam by way of RNAcentral